UCCGGACAACGGCGAGCGAAGCGGGAAGAGCUCAAAUUUGAAAUCUGGUGGCCUCAGGUCAUCCGAGUUGUAAUCUAUAGAAGUGUUUUCCGUGCUGGCCCAUGUACAAGUCCCUUGGAACAGGGCGUCAUAGAGGGUGAGAAUCCCGUCCUUGACAUGGACUACCAGUGCUCUGUGAUACACUUUCAACGAGUCGAGUUGUUUGGGAAUGCAGCUCAAAAUGGGUGGUAAAUUCCAUCUAAAGCUAAAUAUUGGCGAGAGACCGAUAGCGAACAAGUACCGUGAGGGAAAGAUGAAAAGCACUUUGGAAAGAGAGUUAAACAGUAUGUGAAAUUGUUGAAAGGGAAACGAUUGAAGUCAGUCGUGCUCAAUGGACUCAGCCGUUCUGCGGUGUAUUUCCAUUGGGUGGGGUCAACAUCAGUUUUGAUCGCUGGAUAAAGGCAGGAGGAAUGUAGCACCCCCGGGUGAACUUAUAGCCUCUUGUCACAUACAGUGGUUGGGACUGAGGAACGCAGCAUGCCUUUAUGGCCGGGAUUCGUCCACGUACAUGCUUAGGAUGUG
RNAcentral lists this ribosomal RNA (561 nucleotides) under Filobasidium uniguttulatum. RNAcentral describes it as "eukaryotic LSU rRNA". It matches the Rfam family "Eukaryotic large subunit ribosomal RNA", at positions 77 to 627 of the family's 3401-position model. The record is from RNAcentral. Lineage: Eukaryota; Fungi; Basidiomycota; Tremellomycetes; Filobasidiales; Filobasidiaceae.